GACUCACUAUCAAAAUAUAACCGAAUAUCUAAUAACAAAUUAACUACUGUCAAGUUAUAACUAAAACAUUUCACCACAUUAGUUCAAUUAUAAGGCUUCUCUAAACAAAAUGAGCAAGCCAUCUUCGCAUGGAAAUAAUGUAUACAGAGUCGAAAUAUCAUUCUACCUAUAGUCUAUCCUAUACAUGCCUUAAACCAUGAUGAUAUACAAUCUUCUCAACCCACAUAAUGACUCGAUAGUGUGAUGAUAUCUCCGGCCCUUCCAACUCGAGCUAAAGUAUAAACCUAUAAGAAAUGGAAAAGAGAACAUAGUAAGCUUCAAUGCUUAGUAAGUUUUAAGCAAUGCAAACAAUUAAUUUACUUAUAGAUCGAUUAUUUCAAAUUUUCAAGAAAUCAUUCCUAGAUAAUUGCCAUUUUGGCCAAGUAUCCAUGAACAUAAUGCAUAUUUAGCAAAUUCACCUCACUUGAAUCUGAACUCAAUUAAAACCAAAUAUUUAAAUCACAAAUAAGAUCAUAAGAACUCGAAAAGCAUCUCAUUAACAAGUUUUAACCAUGUUUGCAACAAAAUCACAAAUUCACUACAAGCUGUCUUCCUAAGCAACAGUCACUAAAUUAUUUAUAUCUGGAUAUAAGAAACUCCAAAUAAAGUGCUGUUAAUUUUCCCUGAAAAUAGACUCAUAUAUCUUCCAUCCAUCAAAUUUUCAUAAUUUUUUGUUUGACCAAUCAAUACCAGAUUUUUAUUGAAGUUUCCCCUGUUUCACUGUUUGACUAUUCUGACCACUCUUCACUAUGAAUCAAUUUUCUCAUUAUAAAGAAUUCGAAAUAUGUUAUCGUUUAUUUCAUUUGCAAUUAGACUCAUUAAGGGGUCUAAGAAUAUAAAUUUUAUCUUAUAACCAUUUUUUUACCAUUUAUCAUUUUCUAAAAAUAGAACAGGGGACCUCGAAGUCAUUUUGACUUUAUUCCACGCCACUUCAAAUAUCUCAUUAUUGGAAAUUCUUUUGCUUACAUGGUUUAUUUUAUAAGAAACUAGACUCAUUAAAAUUUCGUGACAUAAUUUAUUCAGCCUCUAACUCAACUCCCACAAUUUAUGGUGAUUUUCCGAAAUCACAUUACUGUUGCUGUCCCAAGCAGAUUUAUUACCCAUUCUUUGCAUUCAUAUUAUUUAACAUGUAUAUCACCAAAUCAAUCUCAUAUAACCUUUCACCAUAACCGAAUACACACAUACACAUAUGAGAUUUUCACAUAUACUUCUCAUUUCGCAUUCAUGAUUCAAUUCCGAUCAAUCUAACAUAUAAAAGUAUAUAAUACAUACCUGACCAACUUAAUGUAUUGAACAUAUUCAAUGGUAGUUUACUACGAACAUUCGAAAUCAAAAUCUUACUCCAAUCAUCGGCAUUAAGUCUGCUAGGUUUAAAACCCAAAUCCAAUCACCACCACAAAGCAUGCGGGACUUUAAACCUAGAUAUAAUACCAGCACAAAGCUGCGGGACUUUAGCCCGGAUAUAAUACCAGCACAAAACCUGCGGGAAUUUAGCCCGGAUAUAACACCAGCACGAAUGCCUUCGGGGCUUAACCCGGAUAUAACACCAGCACGAAUGCCUUCGGGACUUAGCCCGGAUAUAACACCAGCACGAAUGCCUUCAGGACUUAGCCCGAGUAUAAUUCUCCAUUAUCAUGCACAUAUAUAUAUCAUAACACAUUAGCAUUUCAUUUACAUUACUUAAACACAAGCACAACAUGCUUAUCAACCAUUCCACUUUCAGCUCAAUAGCCACAUACAAAGAACACGAUUUCGUUUCGCUAUCCAACAUGAUUUCUAUAACCAUUCGGCUACAAGUCAUAUGCACAAAUUAUUUAUCCCACUACGUAAUUCAAGUAGAACCAAUAGGUCACAAUUUAUUUAUUAUGCUUAUAUACCAUGAUUUUAUCAAAUCAUAGGCUAAGUUUCAUUAUCCAAAGACUUACCUCGGAUAUUUUGAACAGUUGUGGAUAGGCUACUCGAUUGCUUUCUCAUUUCCCCUAUCUGAUUUAGUUCUUCUUUGCUCUUGAGCUUUAAAUUUAAACAAAUGAAUUUGUUUAAUUACUUACUCAACUUUAAUUCUAUCUACUCGAUUGCUUUCUCCUUUCCCCUAUCUGAUUUAGUUCCUCUUUGCUCCUGAGCUUUAAAUUUAAACAAAUGAAUUUGUUUAAUUACUUACUCAACUUUAAUUCUAUAAUAGUCACAUUUGACAAUCAUAUAAUUUCAAUGCAUAUUAUGUUUUAUAAAAUAUGCCAUGACUCAAUUUCAUGCUUAUUAUAUCAAUAGCUAAUUCGCAUACACAAACAAAGAUUCACAUAACUUACCAUGCUACCUUAUACAUGAAUUCAACCAUAUAUACGAAUAUCAACUUAUUAAACAUUUAUCACAUUUCCACUUGCUAUUUAUCAAUAAUGCCGCACACACACAAAUACAUUACAUACUCAUAUGCAUGCAACCAAUUUUUGAUUAAUAUAUAUCCCAUUCAGCCCUAACUACUCAAUUUAACCUUCAUAUUCAAAUUUAUAGGUAAUGCCGAAUGCCCAAACUUAAUCAAUCUCAAAAUUUAGCUUUCAUCACUUUAAUUAACUACUACUUAUUCUUCCAAAACCUCAAAUAUAAGGUAUUUAGCACCUAUACACUUAUACCGAAUUAGCAAGUACAUAUGAUCCUUGGCCGAAUGUCAUUAAACACAAGUCAUCAAAAUCUUAUUAUUUACCAUCUUAUAUAUUAUUAGAUAAAUGGAUUAAUUAUACAUAUAUACUACCAAAGCCGAACAUAAAAAUUUUACCCAUGCAUAACAUUACUCAUAUUCCAAUACUCAUAUUAUUCAAAAUCAUACUCUAAAAAAAAUCAUGUACAAUGCCGAACACUUAGAUGAUCAAACAUUUAAUUUAUUCAUUUCAAAACACCCCAAACGGCAUUUGUUCAAGACAUUAAGCAAAUCCAUGUUCGGCUAUUACACAUAUGAGUAUUAGCAAUUUAUAUUUUUAACAAGAUCAACUUCUCAACAAUUCUUCAUCAAAACUUAAAGGCAAUAAUCAAAUUCCUUCCUUAUCUACCAUAACCAAAUGCUCAAUUCAUCACUCAAAAUUCAAAGUUUUGGCAUGGGCUAAGUAAGAAACAUGAUAAUUAACUUAAAACAAGCUACAAUUUCAAAAAUCUAACAUAAUUUACUAACCUUCCUUAUGUUUCAAAUGGACGAAUGUCUUGCUACUCUUUUUCUUUCUUUAAGUUCGGCUAAGAAGAACAAAGAUGAGACUUUGUUUUCUUCACCAUUAUUUCUAUUAUUAUUAUGAUUUUAUUCAUCUACAUUAGAAAAUAUAAAGCCACUUAACUAAUAAAUAAUACAUAUAUUUUAUAUAAACCAUUAUCAUGACCGGCCACUACUAAAAAAAUGGAUAUUUGACAUGCAAGUCCAUCCUCUUUAUUACAUGCAUUAAUAGACCACUUUAAAAUUAACCUAUCACAUUUCACAAUUGUCUCACAUAAGUCCUAUUUAAUAAAUUUCACAUACAAAUGACAAAAUUAAAGCAUGAAACUUUUGACACAUGCAUUAUCUCAUAUAAUAGACAUGAAAUUUAACAUUUAAUUAUUUUCAUGACUCGGUUUUGUGGUCCUGAAACCACUUCCCGACUAGGGUCAAAUUAGGGCUAUUACAACUCUCCCCUCCUUAGGGAUUUUCGUCCCCGAAAAUCUUAUAAAAAAAAAUAGUUUCCAUUCUGAAAACAUUUUCAAAAAUUUCAGAAUCACAAAUUUCCAUUCAUCACAUGUAUCUCUUUUUACCAACAAUCUCUAAACUUUAAUUCACACUGACAGAUCACAUUGGCAGACUAUAUUAUAAAUAUCUCAACAACUUUAUCGAUCGAAAUUUUGUACAUACUAAACUGAAGACACAGAUUCUUCCUUGUUAAAAGAUCGAUCAUGACCCAAUGACAUUUCUUUUUCAGAAGACAAAUAAAUUUUUUUUAUUCGGUUUGGAUAUCAAUUCUGUCUCAUAAACACUUCUAUAACAUCACUUAUUGCUUUUAUUCCAUAUGCACAAAAUUUCAACUCUGACAGAUAGCAACUUGUCAUCUGAAUAUAGUUCUGAAAUACGCUACAAUACACAGUCACUUACACACCUGAUCCAUAUAUCUGUAUUAUUUAUUUUAACUCAGAUAAACAAACAUUUCACAGUCGGAGCUCAUAUAAAAAUCCUUUAACCCAUCUGAAUACUUAUUCCAUAUAAGAACAAUAAUAACAUUAACAGAAAUUUCAUAUGUCCAAACAUCCAUAAUCGAAUAACUGUUACUCUGAACUCAUUUUGAACUAUCACAUCUCAAUAUACUUUUAUACUUCUCAAUUUCACUAGAAGAAUAGACCUUGCUUAACGUUCAAUACUUUUAUUCCUUGGUUCAAGAAACAUUCAAAUUUUUCCCUCGAAUACUCGAAAUUGUCAGAUAUGCAACACUGACACAACCACAAUCAUCUCUAAUUAUCAGCUGAACAGUUCUUUUUAUAAUAACUUUAACAUUUGUCUCUGAAUCUUUAACAAAUUCAAUCAUACAUAUAAUUCGAGUUAAACCACACAACUGAAUCAGUCUUGUCUAACAAAUAAUAACUUUUCAAGACUACUUUUCUUUGUGCAUGUCGUAACUCUUCAAAUAUACAUUCUAUUAGAUCUCUUCAGAUAACUAAUCAAAAUUCAUUAUCACUGCAUAACUCGAAAGAACAUAACACUCAAUCUUUAACUCACUAAUAUAUAAGUGAAAACCAAUCCAUAGGUCUGAGCUGAAUUCUUUAUCAUUCAGACCCUUAUUUAUGGCCAUUCCUUUCAUAAGAAUCAGAGAAAUCCAAAUAUAUAAUCAUUAUAAACAUAAUUGUUUCAGAUAAAAAAAAUAUACACUUUAGAAUUGAGCCAUAUCCAAUUAUUCAUAUAAGAAAAAUGAAAAGAAAACCAGAAUACAAAAAUCCAAAAUACAAUGUUGUAUCAGAAAUCCUAGAAUAGAAUCUCCCAGAACAUAGAAAUAAAGAUCAAAAUAACUCUUCAGAGAAUACCAGAAGAAGACUACAAUUAAUAACCCUGAAAUUUCCUCUAUAACAGAAAUAACACAUUCUUCAACAUUUUUAUAAGAUGGAAUACCAAUCAAUAGAAAUAGAAGAAUAACCUCAUAUGAAUUUAUCCCCGAAUUCAUUCCGAUCAUACUACAAUAAAUUUCCAAACAGAGGAAUACGAUGAUACCGAUUAUAAACCAAUCAAAAUGGCAAUACUUUUAUUAAACAUAAGAGUCAGAUAACAUUCUCACUUUAUAGCAUUUUCAUCAGAAAAAGGAACAAUCACACAUGUGUCUCUGAGAAUAAGAAAUAUACAGAAUAUUCAAAAGAAAUCAUCGAAAUUCACUUGACUGUAAUUAUCCAAUUCAGACACUCUUACUAUUCAUUCGUCAUUUCGAAUUCCAUUCUAUUUCAUUCAUUAAUGAAAACCACUCAGGAAGAAUUUCUAACAGAUACAUACUUAGACAUCAUAUAUCUGAUUGAAUUAAAUUACCAGACCAACUUUCUUUUACUAAUGACAAUAUUCAAUCUGAAGAACCUUCGGGACAUUGUACAAGUCCUUCCAGCCUUAAUUCAUUGCCAAAUCGUUCUGAACUUUGCUUACUUUAUCAUUAUCUCACUAUUUAACUCUUUAAUCUUUCUUUGCAAAGUCGUUCUAUUUCGUUCCGUUGAAACCUUAUAAUCAUAUCACUGGUAAGGAGGUGAGGUCGUUAAGCCUCGAAAGAGAGUUUCAUAUUCUGCCAAAUCCUUGAUUCGAACACUUCAUUCAAACAUUUCAACUUUUCAUCUUGUUACAAACACAUUUUCACAUAUCUCAGUUUCACAUGCAACUUUAUUUCUUAUGAGUAUUAACAAAACAUAAGUGAAUUUAUCACGAUUCAAACUUUCAUUUCUAUUACUCAAAUUACCAAAUAAUUUCUUAUCAAAUUUCCACAUAUAGUCUUGAUCAUUUGUCAAUAUUUAUCCCAUUGAAAAACAUCUUACGGUUUCGAGUACGUCGCUUACUUGAUGCCAUAGUCCAACUAUGGUCUUAUACUAACUUUGCUCUACCCAUGUUGAUGCCUAUUUCCGAUAGGUCUUACACUAGCUCAUCUGUCUCAUGUAUUGCCAUGGUCCAAUCAUGGUCUUUUCCGUCAAUUCAUUAUUGAACGAUCGUACUCAUUUCCUGCGUUCUAUCCAAUUUGAUCUUUCAUUACCAUUUACUUUAUACGAUCUCAUACAUCUCUUUACACUGAUGCACACAUAUCAUAAAAUUCUUUUCAUACCUUUUUAAUUCCAUCAUAUCACAUAUAUAUUACAAUGAGUUCAAUAUCAAUUUCAGAUCAAUUAAUAAUAACUCAGUUGGAACACAUCAUUACCUAAGAAAAACAAUUUAUAAGAGCCGGGAGACCUCACACUAUCACACUUUACUUACGGCAUGUAUAGCUAGACUCUUACACUUGCUAUGUUAGUCCGAGAACCGACUAAACCAUAGCUCUGAUACCACUAAAUGUAACACUCCUAACCCGUAUCCGUUGCCGGAAUAAGGUUAUGAGGUAUUACUUGACUGAACAAAACUUCUAUAAGGUCAAAGAUACUUACCAGACAUAAAUUAUCAACAAUGCAAACAUUUCUCAUUGAUUUUCCAUAAAAGCUCUUAUAAAUUUCCAAAAUGACUCACUAUCAAAACAUAACCGAAUAUCUAAUAACAAAUUAACUAUUGUCAAGUUAUAACUAAAACAUUUUACCACAUUAGUUCAAUUAUAAGGCUUCUCUAAAUAAAAUGAGCAAGCCAUAUUCGCAUGGCUAUAAUGUAAACAAAGUCGAAAUAUCAUUCUACCUAUAGUCUAUCCUAUACAUGCCUUAAACCAUGAUGAUAUACAAUCUUCUCAACUCACAUAAUGACUCGAUAGUGUGAUGAUAUCUCUCGCCCUUCCAACUCGAGCUAAAGUAUAAACCUAUAAGAAAUGGAAAAGAGAACACAGUAAGCUUCAAUGCUUAGUAAGUUUUAAGCAAUGCAAACAAUUAAUUUACUUAUAGAUCGAUUAUUUAUAAUUUUCAAGAAAUCAUUCCUAGAUAAUUGCCAUUUUGGCCAAGUAUCCAUGAACAUAAUGCAUAUUUAGCAAAUUCACCUCACUUGAAUCUGAACUCAAUUAAAACCAAAUAUUUAAAUCACAAAUAAGAUCAUAAGAACUCGAAAAGCAUCUCAUUAACAAGUUUUAACCAUGUUUGCAACAAAAUCACAAAUUCACUACAAGUUGUCUUCCUGAGCAACAGUCACUAAAUUAUUUAUAACUGGAGAUAAGAAACUCCAAAUCAAGUGCCAUUAAUUUUCCCUGAAAAUAGACUCAUAUAUCUUCUAUCCAUCAAAUUUUCAUAAUUUUUUGUUUGAUCAAUCAAUACCAUAUUUUUAUUGAAGUUUCCCCUAUUUCACUGUUUGACUAUUCUAACCACUCUUCACUACGAAUCAAUUUUCUCAUUAUACAGAAUUCGAAAUAUGUUAUCGUUUAUUUCAUUUGAAAUUAGACUCAUUAAGGAGUCUAAGAAUAUAAAUUUUAUCUUAUAACCAUUUUUUUACCAUUUAUAAUGAUUUUUUGAAAACGGAACAGGAGACCUCGAAGUCAUUUUGACUCUAUUCCAUGCCACUUCAAAUAUCUCAUUAUUGGAAAUUCUUUUGCUUACACGGUUUCUUUUAUAAGAAACUAAACUCAUUAAUAUUUUGUGACAUAAUUUAUUCAGCCUCUAACUCAACUCCCACAAUUUAUGGUGAUUUUCCGAAAUCACAUUACUGUUGCUGUCCCAAGCAGAUUUAUUACCCAUUCUUUGCAUUCAUAUUAUUUAACAUGUAUAUCACCAAAUCAAUCUCAUAUAACCUUUCACCAUAACCGAAUACACACAUACACAUAUGAGAUUUUCACAUAUACUUCUCAUUUCGCAUUCAUGAUUCAAUUCCGAUCAAUCUAACAUAUAAAAGUAUAUAAUACAUACCUGACCAACUUAAUGUAUUGAACAUAUUCAAUGGUAGUUUACUACGAACAUUCGAAAUCAAAAUCUUACUCCAAUCAUCGGCAUUAAGUCUGCUAGGUUUAAAACCCAAAUCCAAUCACCACCACAAAGCAUGCGGGACUUUAAGCCCGGAUAUAAUACCAGUACAAAGCCUGCGGGACUUUAGCCCGAAUAUAAUACCAGCACAAAGCCUGCGGGACUUUAGCCCGGAUAUAGCACCAGCACGAAUGCCUUCGGGACUUAGCCCGGAUAUAACACCAGCACGAAUGCCUUCGGGACUUAGCCCGGAUAUAACACCAGCACGAAUGCCUUCAAGACUUAGCUCGGAUAUAAUUCUCCAUUAUCAUGCACAUAUAUAUCAUAACACAUUAGCAUUUCAUUUACAUUACUUGAACACAAGCAUAACAUGCUUAUCAACCAUUCCACUUUCGGCUCAAUAGCCACAUACAAAGAACACGAUUUCGUUUCGCUAUCCAACAUGAUUUCUAUAACCAUUCGGCUAUAAGUCAUAUGCACAAAUUAUUUAUCCCACUACGUAAUUCAAGUAGAACCAAUAGGUCACAAUUUAUUUAUUAUGCUUAUAUACUAUGAUUUUAUCAAAUCAUAGGCUAAGUUUCAUUACUCAAAGACUUACCUCGGAUAUUUUGAACAGUUGUGGAUAGGCUACUCGAUUGCUUCCUCCUUUCCCUUAUCUGAUUUAGUUCCUCUUUGCUCUUGAGCUUUAAAUUUAAAUAAAUGAAUUUGUUUAAUUACUUACUCAACUUUAAUUCUAUAAUAGUCACAUUUGACAAUCAUAUAAUUUCAAUGCAUAUUAUGUUUUAUAAAAUAUGCCAUGACUCGAUUUCAUGCUUAUUAUAUCAAUAGCUAAUUCGCAUACUCAAACAAAGAUUCACAUAACUUACCAUGCUACCUUAUACAUGAAUUCAACCAUAUAUACGAAUAUCAACUUAUUAAACAUUUAUCACAUUUCCACUUGCUAUUUAUCAAUAAUGCCGCACACACACAAAUACAUACAUACUCAUAUGCAUGCAACCCAUUUUUGAUUAAUAUAUAUCCCAUUUAGCCCUAACUACUCAAUUUAACCUUCAUAUUCAAAUUUAUAGGUAAUGCCGAAUGCCCAAACUUAAUCAAUCUCAAAAUUUAGCUUUUAUCACUUUAAUUAACUACUACUUAUUCUUCCAAAACCUCAAAUACAAGGUAUUUAGCACUUAUACACUUAUACCGAAUUAGCAAGCUGUAACACCCCUCGCCUACAUCCGACGCCUGGACAGGGUUCGAGGUGCUACCUGACUUUUACUAACACUUCCAUACUAAACAGGGCCAUGAAAUCUCAAAUAAUUAAAAACUUUUCUUUUCACAUGCAAUUUGUCCUUUAUGCGAGCUUACGAGGCCCAAUACAUGCAUUCGGGGUGGUUCGGGAGCCAACCGAGAACUCAUGAAAAACUUAGGAAAUCUCUUGUAUCAAGGAUCCACAAGCCCGUGUAGGUAUAGAACACACGCCCGGGUGCUAAGGACACGCCCAUGUCCCGAACCCAUGUCCAAAACCUGGACAAAUAAGGCUAUUUUCCAAGCCAUUUUGUCACACUCACAACACAUGCACGCAUACUUAUACACUAGCAUACAACAUGGCAAAAUUAGGCACUUAAACCUUUCUAACAUGACAUGACCAUGGUAAUUUCACAUGCAACCAUUACAAUAAGUUUUUCUUUCAUCUUUACCAUAUUAAUGCUAUAGCUAUCAACAUGUCAUCAAACCUCAUGUCCAUCACAAAGCAUGCAUAAUCAUAUCCAGAAACCAUUUUAAUGAAGCAUUAUUAACUAUUUACCAAUCACUUAAUCCUGCAUUAGUUAUUAGCUCAUCAAUGAAUCUCAAUUCAAUCUCUAGGCAUACAUGUUGUAAGCCACAUCACAAGAGAUAAUAACAUACAUGCAUAAGAAUAAUCAUAUGGGCCCAUAACGAUAUUAGCCGACAUAGGCCAAUUUACAUGACUAAUACUACCUUAAUAACAAGCCAAUGCCUUUGGCUAAAUCAUAAUAUUACAUACUCACAUUAAAACCCUAUACAUGCCAUAGACUAGAAUCACUUGAGUUUACUUACGCCGAUAGCGUUAACUCGACAGUGUGAUAAUAUCUCUGACGGCCUCCAACCCGAGCUAACCUGGAAACUCUAGAAAACAUGGGAAAGAAGGGGGGUAAGCUUUCACUUAGUAAGUUCAUAUGAAAACAAUAAGCAACUCAUUAACUUGUUUUAUCAAUGUUUACAACAUAUUCUCAAGUUCACUGCAAGCUGUCUUCCUGAGCAAUAGUUACUAAAUUAUUUAUAUCUGGAGCUACAAAACUCCAAAUUAAGUUCCGUUAAUUUUCCCUGAAACUAAACUCAUUUUCCUUUCUUGCAUAAAAUUUUCAGAAUUUUUGGUUAAUCCAAAUAGUACAUUUUAUUCCUCAAAGUUACCCCUGAUUCACUGUCUAACAGUUCCAACCCUUCUGUACUAAAGUUCAAUUAUCUCAUGGUACAAGACUCGAAUAAUGUUCUCGUCUAUUUCUAUUGAAACUAGACUCAUAUGUCUACUUACUAAUUGUUUUCUAGAAUUUUUGGUUGGGCCAAUUAGUACAGUUUAUUAGUUAAAGUCUCCCCUGUUUUAGGGUAUGACCACUCUGACUCCUGUGCACUACAAACCGAAUUUCUCCCUGUACAAAAUUCUAACGACCAUGGCGUUUAUUUCCCAUAAAAAUAGACUCAAUAAGGAAUCCAUGCAUGUAAGGUAUGACUCUUAAUCAUUUUUGUACAAUUUUUGGUGAAUUUAUAAAUUCAGAACAGGGGAUCUCGAAUUCAUUCAGACCCUGUUUCACAAGAAUUCAAAUAUCACAUAAUAUGGAAUUCUUUUUCUUCCCCUGUUUCUUUCAUGUGAAAAUAGACUCAUUAAGCUUUAAUCCCAUAUUUUAUUCUGCCUCUAACUCAUUUUUCACUAUUUUUAAUGUAUUUUCAAAGUUACACUACUGCAGUAACUCAAAUCUAUCAAGGCUAAAUUACUCAUUCAUGAUCAUUGUUCACAAAAUUAAUACAACAUCGUUUGUAUAAUCAUCACCGAGACAUUUAUAUCACAUUUUCAUUUACCAUCUUACCAUAUUGUUGUUAUGUCGAGUUUUCAACCCGAGGGUUAAGUACAUACCUGUUCAAAGUAUCUAUUUCACAACAUUUACCAAUACGUCCCUUUCAUCUCGAGUAUUCCUCUAUUUGAGUAGAAUUUUACCCGUUGAACACAUCGGAAUAUAAUUCGGAUACAUGGAAAGUUUGCACAUAAGUGCCACAUAUGUAGCCAAGCUACCAUGUAACCCGCCCAUAAGUGAACUCGGACUCAACUCAACGAGCUCGGGCGUUCACAUCCAUAAGUGAACUCGGACUCAACUCAACGAGCUCGGAUGCCUAGUUACAUCUCACGAACUCGGACUCAACUCAACGAGUUCGAACAUUCGCAUCCAUAAGUGAACUCGGACUCAACUCAACGAGUUCGGAUGCUCAACCAUCCUAGUGACAUGUCACUUGUAUCCUAAUCUAUUCCUAAGGUUCGAACGGGAUUUUCCUCGAACACAUAUCCUUGCCAUCUUCCGUAAAAUACCGAAACCAAUACUCGGUAGCACUUUAUAUUUAACAGAUAAUACACAUAACUUGCAUUUUAUUCGAAAAUAACCACAAAGUAUAUAUUUCAUGAUAAAAAUCAGCAUAUCAUAUAUUUAACAUCAAUAACUUAAAAAUAACAAUUAUGCUACAUUAUUUACACAUGAACUUACCUCGAUACCACAAAGGUGAAAAAAAAAGGCGUAAUUAUCCCUUAAUCGAUUUCUUUCCGUUCUAGGUCAAAAUCUCGAUUUUCAUCAUCUAAAAUAUCACAUUCAACUUAUUAAAACAAUGUAUUGAUCAAAUUAGUCCAUUGACACACUUGGGCAAUUUUUACAAUUUUGCCCCUAUAUUUUGCCAAAAUUACCAAAUUACCCCUAGGCUCGUAAAAUAAUUUUUAUCAUAUUACUUUACUCCUUGAGUCUAGAUGAACCAUUUUCAUAACUAUAGCAACUCAUAAUUUCAACUAUUUCAUACAUUUACAACUCAUUUUACAACUUAGCAAUCUAGCCCUUUUUAAGGUGUUUUCAUGCAAUUUCUUUCACAAAAGCUGUUUAUUAAACAACUAGGACUCAUAAUCUUCCAUAAAAACACAGAAAACAACACAUUUAAUCUCAUGGAAAAAUCCUAGACUCUUCAUCAUUUUGCAAAAUAGACCCCUCAUAUGAAAGCUCAUGUUUUAGGGGUUCCAAAAAUGUAAAAAUCAUCAAGAAAGACAUUAAAAAUCACUUACUAGCAAGGGAUGCAAGUCGCUGAUAUUUCAGAGCUUCAAAACCCCUUUCUUUUUUUCCAUUUUCGGUGGAGGAGAAGAGAAAAAUGAUAGCUUUUUUUUAUUUGUUAAUAAUAAAACUAGUCAAAAUUGG
Molecule: long non-coding RNA, 12515 nt
Filed under: Gossypium barbadense (sea-island cotton)
Lineage: Eukaryota; Viridiplantae; Streptophyta; Magnoliopsida; Malvales; Malvaceae
Description: long non-coding RNA (GBAR_LNC011689)
Source: RNAcentral